AUUGAACGCUGGCGGCAUGCUUUACACAUGCAAGUCGAACGGCAGCGGGGGUGCUUGCACCUGCCGGCGAGUGGCGAACGGGUGAGUAAUACAUCGGAACGUAUCCUUAAGUGGGGAAUAACGCAUCGAAAGAUGUGCUAAUACCGCAUAGUCUUUUACAAGUAAAGCAGGGGAUCGAAAGACCUUGCGCUUGAGGAGCGGCCGAUGUCUGAUUAGCUAGUUGGUGGGGUAAAGGCCUACCAAGGCGACGAUCAGUAGUUGGUCUGAGAGGACGACCAACCACACUGGGACUGAGACACGGCCCAGACUCCUACGGGAGGCAGCAGUGGGGAAUUUUGGACAAUGGGCGAAAGCCUGAUCCAGCCAUGCCGCGUGAGUGAAGAAGGCC
Molecule: ribosomal RNA, 388 nt
Filed under: uncultured bacterium
Lineage: Bacteria
Description: bacterial SSU rRNA
Rfam family: Bacterial small subunit ribosomal RNA
Source: RNAcentral